UUGCCAACUUGGUACAGGAGAUACCAUGAUCAUGAAGGUGCUUUUCUCAGGAGAAGGCUUAUCCAUUGCAUUCCAGAUAUCCUGACCCUUUGGAUUUCUCCACAGGUGAGAAAUUCCACUGCAUAAUUUCUGAUGGUGAGAGAAUGCAUUCAUGCUUUGCCCUGA
Small nuclear RNA from Fukomys damarensis (Damara mole-rat), 165 nucleotides. Its record names the gene U1. It matches the Rfam family "U1 spliceosomal RNA". From Rfam's summary of the family: U1 is a small nuclear RNA (snRNA) component of the spliceosome (involved in pre-mRNA splicing). Its 5' end forms complementary base pairs with the 5' splice junction, thus defining the 5' donor site of an intron. NCBI's taxonomy places the organism in Eukaryota, Metazoa, Chordata, Mammalia, Rodentia, Bathyergidae. The record is from Ensembl.